Molecule: long non-coding RNA, 407 nt
Organism: Tarenaya hassleriana
Lineage: Eukaryota; Viridiplantae; Streptophyta; Magnoliopsida; Brassicales; Cleomaceae
Exons: 4
Source: RefSeq, a predicted model, not a curated record
CCACAACCUCGUACUGAGUCAUGUCGGAGCUUGUUUCAGAACUGAGAAAGCCUUCUUCACUUGAGCUCGAAACUUGGUUGUCUCCUCCUCCAUAUGUGCAAAUAACAGGGUGGAUCUUUCUACGGAAUAGUUGGCCAAUCUGUAACCACAAUAUGUUCAAAAUGCAUCAAAUUCAGACAAUCCCAUUGAGGUGAAAUGCAAUACAUGAGUGAAGCUCUUCUUGGCAGUUCCAUGAAGCUUUCUCCACAUGAAGUUCAAGCGAAGAUCCGAGGAGAUAGCCUUGCAGAGGAAACAUGACAGGUUCUCCAUACUCUUCUGGAUUUGAUUCCUCGGCCUUGAGGCUAGCAGUGUCAGAAAAUUCCCCGAGGCCUGAAGAAAGACAGAUCUCGUGUGUUUAACUCAUAAUC